Molecule: RNA transcript, 4467 nt
Organism: Phragmites australis (common reed)
Lineage: Eukaryota; Viridiplantae; Streptophyta; Magnoliopsida; Poales; Poaceae
Exons: 5
Source: RefSeq, a predicted model, not a curated record
CGCGCGCGCGGGUGUGGAUAAUGAUCUUGACGAGAUAAAUGGGCCGGAUCAUGCGGUCAGGCCCACAUUCUAAUGGGUCAAUUAAUGGGCCGGCUCAUCAAUUUAUUCCACGACGCGAGAUCCGCACCAGAUUUGUGUAAUGCAAGCGAGAUCGCGAGACGGAAUCCGGCAGCGAGCGAGGCGAGCGGCGGGCACCGGCACGGCACCGCCGUAGCCGACUACCCGCGCGUGGAACUGUGAAGCUAGCGAUGGCGGCGUCGGGAUCGGGAGGCGAGCCCGUCCGGCCCUGGACGGCGGCCAGCACGUGGGCCCCGGCCGGCGGCGGGGCCGUGGAGGACGCCGUCUCGUUCGAGACCUCCGACUACGACGCCGAGGCUUCCCCCUCGGGCGUCGUGCUCUCCCGCCCGCCCCCCGACGGGGACGGCGACACCCCUCCCUGUGAGGUCACUGUUUGUUUCAGGGGAAAAUAUGAGAUUCAUAGGGUCUAUGUGCGAAGCACAGCUCGGAUUUAUGAAAUAUACCAUUCUACCGAUGCAAAGGGUACCAGCAAGGAUUAUCUAUGUACUGUGCGUUGUGGACUUGCCAUUAACGAACCACAGCCCUCUGGUGAAGAAAGUAUGGCUCAAUGGAGUAGCAAUGCUUCAACUAGUAAAAAACAUGAAGAGACGAAAAACGUAAGCAGUAGUAGUGAUGAAGAAAGUUGGGUUGAUGUCAAAAUCCCAGAGUCUCCUGUGGGAAAUGACACGUCAGAAUCUCAAGAAAGGAAUGCGGUUGGAACCUACCAAGAAAAUGCAUUGGCACACUAUGAAGCAACUGCUGAGAUGACUGAUGUGAGCCCAUGUGUAUCUCUUACUGUCCGUCUUCUGUCACUUCAGUCAAAGGCAUCAGUGCACAUUGAGGAGAUCUACAUAUUUGCUGAUCCUGUUGAGUCCACAAAUGAUAAUUCAGUAACAGGUCGUGGAAACAUGGGUGAUAGUUCUUUGUUGGCCAUGCUUGUUCCUGGCCUUAUGCAAAUGUCAAAAUCAAGGAGCUGGAAAAUUGAUGACAGAUAUUUUUCUCAUGGAUCAAGGACUCAACUUACCCAAGAUUGUGCAAUAAAAGAGAGCAUCCCAUGUGAAAAUAUUGCACUGGAAGCAGGGUCUUGUAGCAAAGAUGAUUCAAAAUAUACGCCAGCAGGGGUAGAAAGUGGAAUAAAUCUUACAGACGGUGGAACAGUAUCUAAGGAAAAAAGCAGCCAAUGUGACUUCCAGUUCAAGGAUCCAAAGUCUUUUCCAUUGCCUCUACAAACAGCAGAAAAUACACAAGUGCCAUCAGUGAAGGACCAGCGAGUAUCGAAUACAGAUCAGCUUGCUAAUCCCCUCAUGAAUGAAUUUUCCCCCCCUUACAAUCAUAUUGAGAGAAAGCUAGAUACUCUGCUCUCUAAGGUAGAGAAGAUAGAAUUAUACUGCUCUAGGUUUGAUGACAGCAUGAUGAAGCCCCUUGGUAGCAUUGAGGCAAGGCUUCAGCGACUGGAGCAACAGUUUGAUUUAUUCUCUUUGGAGAUUCAGUCUUUUCGAGGUUCUUCAGCUAGGAUGCCAGCACCAGAUGGUCAGUCUGAUACGACAAACUCACAGGAGAAAGCACAUAAUGUUGGUAAUGCUAGAACUACUGCUUCUAUAACUGAUAGGCAGCCAGGUCUAGCUGUCAGGGCACCAGAUUUUUCUUCAGAAGAUUCCUGUGGUUAUAAUGUAACUGAUCGAGGUUUGGCUGUCAGGGCACCAUAUUUUUCUUCAGAAGAUUCCUGUUGUUAUAAUGUAUCUGAUGAAAAUCAAGUUAGCUUUCGUGGGAGUAACAUGGUGCCAAGGCUACUUGUGAAGGUCCCUGAUUUUAUUUCUCAACCCGAGUUAACUGGCGAAAAGCUUCACAAUGGGCCUUUCUCACCUGUUGCUUUUGCUCUAUCUUCUGGAAAAGAACGUAAGACUUCCCCAGGUUUAGUUGUCAAAGUUCCUGAAUUCCCAGAUGAUGAUGAUGAUGAUGAUGAUGAAGUGGAGGAAGAGAAAGAAGCAGAAGUUGGCGAUCAUGAUGAUGGUCACACACAAUAUGAUGAUACUAUGGCCAAAAGCACCGCCGACAGCUCCAAAAGCAAAAUUCCUGUAUCUAUAAAUGGUGCAUUGGCUUCAGCAUUGGAGGCAUUACUCACUUCCACUAGAGGAACAUCAUCUUCGAAGUCUGUUGUUUGCACUGCCAGUAAUUUAGGUGCUGAAAAUACUAAUGAUUCCUCGAGCUGUUCUCUUUCUCCUGAAAAAGUUGAUGAGAUGUCCACUAAAGAUGUUUCAGCCAAUAAAUUUCCGGGUACAUUUGACAAUGCAAAUUUGGUUGGUACCUUCAUAUCUUCUCAGGAAAUUGAUGCGGCUCCACAUACUUCUCUCUCAAAGGCAAUGUUGGAUGGCAAGGUUGAGGUAAAUAAACAGAGCAAUGAUCUUAACUCGGGCAAGGUGGCAUUUGUUGCAAGCACUGAACCAUUGGGUGUUCCUUCACAGCCUCAUGCAUUUGAGGAAUCUAUUGAUGAUCAAAGUCGGGUAAGUGGACUGAACAAUGGUCCUAAUUUUGGCAUAGUGCCAUUUGUCGCAAGCACUGGACCUUUCGAUCCUCCUACAGUUUUUGAAUCUGUUGAUAGUGAGGCUCCGGUGAAUGAAAGCAGACCUGCCGUAUCCUUAGCAGAGUUUCUUGCAGCAAGGAAUGCUAUCUCUUGUAAGAAUGGUACCUCAGAGGUAUGCGGCGGUAAUGAUGGUGCUGAAUUACUGUCCUUAGAGAGAACAUUGGCUGGAGCUGGUAAAAACUCGAAAAAUAUCAGUCAACUGCUAGUGAAGAAAGCUCUUGAGGUUGAUGCGGAUGACACAGAGCUUUUUUCUAGUGUACCCGCUGUGGAAAACUUUAAAGGAUCAAGCUAUGCAACUACUGGGAAUGCCGCUAAUGGGCAUGAUAUCAAUACAAUAGAAACUGUGUCAGAUAAAGAUUGUGGUCCGGAGAAUACAGGGAACAGUGUUAGGCUUUCUGUUGGGAUGGACUCUGCAUUUUUACAGUGUAGCGCUACUGAUUCCAAGAAAAAAGGGAUUGAGAGCAGUUUGGGCUCGAGCCUAGAUGAGAGCUUCUUGAAACCAAAUGCGGAACAUUCCUGGUCUUUGAGUAGUAUGGAGUCGUUCAGUGGAGCACCUGCCAAAGAACCUGUUGUUUUAGCGACUACCACAUCAGGAAAGUAUGCGGAAGAUCUUCUUGCAGGCAUUGGAGUUGGUUCUACUGUAACCCCAAUCGCUGAGGAAGAGUUUCAAAAGGUUUGUGACUUGCUUUAUAAUUACAAGGCUAACAUGUUGGGCAUGGCCUCCACAACGAAGACAACAAGUAAGGGCAGCCCAUCCCUUGAAGUCUUGCUUGGCGAAUCAUUUGGUUCUGAAGCUCAAAUUUCAGAACUGGGGGACAUUCACAAUGAUGCCGGCAUGAGUUCAGCUCAACUGUUUAGUACAUUCACAUCUUCAGAUGAUGAUGCUGCUUCUGCUGCGGAAGAGUCUUUAGUUGAUGUUGCUGACCUGACCAGACCAUCAGAGCCAUAUGCUUCUGCCCUCAACGAGCCUUUGAUUGAUGUGGCUUGUCUGACAAACCCUUCAGGGACAUAUGCUCCUGCGGUGGGUGAGCCUUCGACUGAUGCGUUUGAUCCGCCAAACCCUUCAGAGACAUAUGCUUCUGGCGUGAACGAGCCCUGGGCCAACGUCGAUGAUCUGCCAAAACCACUGGAGAUAUUUGCUGGUGGGAGCAGUGGAGAACAUCUUGACAGUCUCAUAUAGGGUCACGGUUACUGUUCUACACGUCAGAAAUAAGCUUCUUAACAUCAUUGGUGUGUCCUGUACAGCGGUCAUCGUUUUCGUUCAAGUUUUUUUUUCUGUACAUAAAUAAAUCGUGGCGUCUGCAACAAUAUUGCUAAAUACAUUAUGACUAAACAGCCCUGAGCAUUGCAGGAAAAAGCAUAGUUACCAGACUCGCUUUAUGUUGGCACCAUUUCCAUCGGCAGUGAAGUCACCUGGGUUACAACGGAGAACAAUGCAUCCAGACGAGGUAAAUAUCGGAACACGCCAUGUUGCAUAAGCAAACAGGAGGAGGACAAGCCACAUUCUGUUCACAUGUCAGCUUGCUUGAUGCUGCAGGCUGCAGCGGUCCGAGUACGCACAUGGGCUAGUCCUGUCUAUGGGCCUGGCGAGGUCGUCCCACAAGAUGUAGAAUUUAAUACAAGGCACGGCCCACGGUGGGUCCGUGGCCAUCUAUCUUCAUUACCGUCCAGGUGCGAGGAAUCCAUGGUUUACUCAUCAUCUCCGGUGUCCUACGGUCACGUCGUUCGUCCAUUCCUUACCUCUAAUAUUUAUCGGUUGAUUUUCUCAUAUAUGAUUUUUUUGACGUACCCUCUGACAUAAGUUUUAAUAUAAAUAAACGGUUUUGAUA